UGAUCAUUUAAAAUGUACAUACAUUUCCCUGUGGGGACCCAGUGUGUAAUGCUUGCUAACAAUUGCCUUUUUGUAGCGCAUGCAACCUGUUGCCUGUAUGGGUUGCCCUAAGAGACCUUGCAGACAAUU
RNAcentral lists this small nucleolar RNA (129 nucleotides) under Mus pahari (shrew mouse). RNAcentral's name for it is "predicted gene, 24175 (MGP_PahariEiJ_G0034412.1)". The stretch from base 15 to 129 matches the Rfam family "Small nucleolar RNA SNORA70". Rfam says of the family: snoRNA U70 seems to be exclusive to mammals and is a member of the H/ACA class of snoRNA which contain H (ANANNA) and ACA box motifs. H/ACA box snoRNAs are involved in the conversion of uridines to pseudouridines (5-ribosyluracil) a constituent of structural RNAs (transfer, ribosomal, small nuclear, and small nucleolar). Lineage: Eukaryota; Metazoa; Chordata; Mammalia; Rodentia; Muridae. The record is from RNAcentral.